This 255-nucleotide ribosomal RNA is filed under the name uncultured bacterium. RNAcentral describes it as "partial 16S ribosomal RNA". It matches the Rfam family "Bacterial small subunit ribosomal RNA", at positions 100 to 353 of the family's 1533-position model. The record is from RNAcentral.
GGACGGGUGAGUAACGCGUGGGUAACCUGCCUUAUACAGGGGGAUAACAGUCAGAAAUGGCUGCUAAUACCGCAUAAGCGCACAGAGCUGCAUGGCUCAGUGUGAAAAACUCCGGUGGUAUAAGAUGGACCCGCGUUGGAUUAGCUUGUUGGUGGGGUAACGGCCCACCAAGGCGACGAUCCAUAGCCGGCCUGAGAGGGUGAACGGCCACAUUGGGACUGAGACACGGCCCAGACUCCUACGGGAGGCAGCAUG